Long non-coding RNA from Juglans microcarpa x Juglans regia, 168 nucleotides. RefSeq lists it as uncharacterized. NCBI's taxonomy places the organism in Eukaryota, Viridiplantae, Streptophyta, Magnoliopsida, Fagales, Juglandaceae. The transcript has 2 exons. The record is from RefSeq and is a predicted model, not a curated record.
UGAGUUGUAAAAUAGUAAUAGAUGAAUUGUAAAUAUCAAAUGGAUAGGAUAGUGCUACUGGGACCGAUGGUCCCAACCGAUAGUGAACUGAUGCAGUGUAUUUUCAGAGUUUUUUUUUUCAUUUCUUUCAAGUAUUUUUUUUAUAUUUUUAAAUACUUUUUUUAUUAA